RNAcentral lists this long non-coding RNA (2478 nucleotides) under Canis lupus familiaris (dog). RNAcentral's name for it is "lncRNA (ENSCAFG00000058237.1)". Lineage: Eukaryota; Metazoa; Chordata; Mammalia; Carnivora; Canidae. The record is from RNAcentral.
CAAAGGGAUGUGAACUUUGAAGUUCCUAAAUCCAGACUAGCCAUUUAAUAGCUCCUUGGAGAAAAUAAUGCAAUCCCUCUGAUUUUCGUCUUCUCUACUAUUCAGAUUGACAAACAAAAAGAAAACUAAACUCUUAUUCAGGAAGGAAAAUGACCUUCAAAAACCAUCUGCCUAUGAUUUUUUUUUCCCUUAGGAAAAUAGAAAAAUACCUUUAGGGGCACCUGAGUGGCUCCAUCAGUGAAAUGUCUGCCUUGGACUCAGGUCACGAUCUCAGGAUGCUGGCAUUAAGCCCUGCAUCAGGCUCCCUGCUCAACAGAGUCUGCUUCUCCCUCUGCCUCUCCUUGCUGGCUUGUGCUUUCUCUCUCACUUACUCUGUCUCCCAAAUAAAUAAAAUCUUAAAAAAAAAAAAGAAAGAUGUCUUUAAAGUUUGUUCACUGUAUUUUUCAAUAUGCCUUGAUAGCCCACUGGAUGACCUCUCAUGCCUUGGGGCAAUGCCAAAAGAGGACAACAAAGACAAAAGAAUCAAGUUUCUCCAGAAAAAUAGGACACAUACAUACAUACACAGACACACAUAUAUAAAGAGAUUUAUUUUAAAGAAUUGGCUCAUGUAAUUAUGGGUUUGGCAAGUCUAAAGUGUUCAGGGAGGCAGACUGGAAAUUCUCACAAGAUUUGUUGUUGCAGUCUUUAGCACAAAGGCCAACUGAAGGCAGAAUUUCUUCCUCAUUGGGGAGCUCAGUCUUUUCACUUAAGGCCAUCAACUGAUUGGAUGAGGCCCACCCACAUUAGAGAGGCUCAUCUGUUUUAUGCAGUCUAUUGAAUUAAAGGUCAAUCACAUCUAAAAAAUAUUUUCAUAGCAACAGUUAGUUAGAGUGGUGCUUGACUGAAGAAGUCAGCACUACAGCCCAGACAAGUUGACAUGAAAAAAUAACAAUCACAAGAAGUGAUUUAUUCUGCCAAAAAGUUGGUAAGAAUUGGAAGUUCCUGGAGGCAACUAGGGAAAUUGGAAGUAGUUGUGGAAAAGACGUGCUAGAGGUAACAGGGGUCAAGAUGUUUUUGAAAUGGUCUUGAGAGAGGGAGUCCCUAUGCAACUUGAUAGAAAGUAAUCAGGAAUGAGAAGAAACCAGUGAGAUUUACCCAGUAUGAUGCCAGGCAAAGAGACUUUUAAGAAGAGUACGUCCAAAUAUUCUUUUAGAAAUCUCAUUCUAAGGUGUGUUCAAUGAAAUCCUUACUUGUUAAUCCCAGAUUUUCAGUAAACUCUUCAUAGCAGGUAUUUUGAGGUCACUUUGCAGAACCAGAGGAGAGAAAGUUGUCUCAAUAUUUGAGUUGUAUGAGAAAAAAAUCAACAGUGGGAAAUGAGACACAAGCAAGAUCCAGAAUCCAGCACUGGUAGGAAACCAGAGCAAGAACUGAAUAGAAAGUGAAGUCAUUUGAUCUCUGGUGGUAGAUAGUUGCUGUUUUAUGGAGAAAGGGGCAUUUUAAAUUUAAGAUUUUAGGACAUGUGGCCUCCGAAGACAAGAGCAUUUAAGGGCAUUCAGAGAGGUGCCAUCUGGUUACGGCAUUCUGCAGACUAGCUGUGAGGACUAUAAUAGGCAGCAUAUCUCCAGACACACAAACAAAAUUACAACACACAGCAGAGGCUCAGUAAACAGAGCCAGGCCCACAACAGAGGCUCAGUAAACUGCAGUAACUGAGUAUGGUGUUGCCUUCACCAUAGUUAUUAACAUGCAAUAGUUAUUUGUGAACACGUCUUGUCUGUCUUAUCUCUGUGAUCACUUUGCAAUUCCUAAAAUACAGACACUGUGUCUCAGCAGUCAAAUUCAUAAAGAUUCAUAGACACUUCCUCCUUGAAAGCACAGUGCAGAACACCUGGGAGACACUGAGAAGAUCCCACUGAUCUUAUCUCAAAUUAAUUCACAACCUAAAAGGGAAGAGAAAAAAGCACAUGGAUAAUUUCAGUGAGGGUUAUAAGAGCUACAAAGCAGCAUCUCGAACAGUGGCCCUUGAGUUUUUUGUCACACACAAAGCUUUCAUAUUUUUAUAUUUUUUCAAUUUGAUGCCAACAUUUAAAAAUCUGGAAGUUUUACCUAAAAAUCUGAAUUCCUUUAAAGAUCUCUUGGAAGGCUGAUAAGUAUCCCUACCUUAGUGCCAGUUUGGAAUGGUGCUUAAUAAUAUUUAAUGAAUUAAUGAAUAAAAAAAGAAUGCAUGCAUGACUGAAUAGAGUCACCAGUUCAUCAAAACCCUGUUUGCUUCAAGAAAGUAGAGGCUCUGUCUAACCUGUUUACUUCUCUACCCUCAGGACAUUAAAAUGUACUAUUGGCUUAACAGACUUUUGUUGAAUUAAUAAUGAGUCCUUUCAUGAAGAACAGUAAAUGAUCUGAAGAAUAUGGUGAUUUGAAAGUUCCUCUAGACUUCCAAGUGGGGAGUGCAGGAAUAGCCUCCUGCUCCUUUGACAAAAAAAAAAAAAAAAAAAAAAAAAAA